AUUAACAGACAUCCACACAUACAAGAUGGUUAGAGCCACGUGAAUAGAUGAUACCACCGGGAAAGGAAACAGAGAGAAAAGCAAUGAGCUAAGGCAGAGCCCCGAGGGACCCAGCCUCCAGUGGAUGGGCAGGGGGAAAGGGAUGCAUGAAACAGCCUGGGAACCUAAGACCCGAAGAAGAGAAGAGCUCUAAAGAGGCCAAGGAAAUGGAGAAUCUCAAGAAGCUGUAAGAGGGCUGCAAUAAAACUGGGUCUGGUGGAGGUUGAGAAAUUCAUUGAGCCAACAUUGAAAGAGACAGGAAAAUGGCUGCUGCCUUCAGAAGAAACAGUUGGAGAGGAGAAGGAAAUUCUCUGAAUACUUCUAUAGGUGAGCUCACAGACCUGCGUGGAUACAACAGGCUUGACUCCCACAAUAUCUUACCAAAAUAUUACCUGCAGACUUCUGUUUACUUCGCUAUGCAAGUUUCAGGGAUUUGCCCUUGGAGAACUGCAGCCAGCCCUCUGAGAUGCCAGCCCUGCACCCUCACUAGACAUCUAUCAAAGGUCAUAAUAUCCAAAGCCACAUGUGGAGUCUUCAAUUUGAAGUCAGCAUGUUAAAGGGAACAACCUCUUUGAUCUCAGCUGCAGCAAAUUCUUCCUCGACACGUCUCCACAGGCAAGGGAAAUAAAAGCAAAAAUUAACUAUUGGGACUGCAUCAAGAUAAAAAGCUCUGCACAGCAAAGGAAACAACAAAACUAAAAGGCAACCAGUGGAAUGGGAGGGGAUAUUUGCAAAUGACAUAUCAGAUAAAAGGUUGGUAUCCAAAAUCUAUAAAGAACUUACCAAACUCAACACCUGAAAAAAAAUAAUCCAGUGAAGAAAUGGGCAGAAGACAUGAAGACACUUUUCCAAAGACGACAUCCAGAUGGCUAACAGACAUGUGAAAAGUGCUCAAUGUCACUCAUGAUCAGGGAAUACAAAUCAAAAGCACAUUGAGAUACCACCUCACACCAGUCAGAGUGGCUAAAAUUAACAAUACAAGAAAUAAUAGAUUUUGGCAAGGAUGUGGAGAAAGGGAAACCUUCUUACACUGUUGGUGGGAAUGCAAACUGGUGCGGCCGCUUUGGAAAACAGUGUGUAGUUUCCUUAAAAAAUUAGAAAUAGAAUUAACCUAUGACCCAGCAAUAGCACUGCUAGGAAUUUAUUCAAAAGAUACAGGAGGGCUGAUUCAUAGGGGCACAUGAUUAUAGGAGUGCUUUCAGCAAUAGCCAGAUUAUGGAAAGAGCCGAAAUGUCCAUCAAGUGAUGAAUGGGUAAAGACGUGGUUUGCAUAUACAAUGACAAUGAGAAAGAAUGAAAUCUUGCCAUUUGCAACGACAUGGAUGGUAACUGGAGGGUAUUAUGCUCAGUGAAAUAAUUCAGUCAGAGAAAGACAUAUAUGUUUUCACACCUGUGGAAUUUGAGAAACUUAACAGAAGACGAUGGGAGAAAGGAAGGAAAACACAGGUUACCAACAGAAAGGGAGGCAAACCAUGAGAGACUCUUAAACACAGAGAACAAACUGAGAGUUGAUGGUUGGGUGGGGGGGGGGAAUGGGAGAUGGGCAUUAAGGAGGGUAUUAAGGAGGGAUGAGCACUGGGUAUUUUAUGUAAGUGAUGAAUCACGGGAAUCUACUCCAGAAGCCAAGAGCACAUUGUACACACUGUGUGUUAGCUAGCUUGAGACUGAAUUAUUUUAAACAUUUUUGAAAGUUGUACAUUUUGUAUUUGUUUUACUGCAGGUAAUUUGCUGCAUUUUGAUAACAUUGACUAUUCAGCCAAAAAAAAAAAAAAAAGGCAAAUCAGCCAUUUGUCCUCAGAUAUCAGGGUCCCCUUCUUAACUUAGCUUUGCCAAUGAAAUUAUUCCCUUAGUUACUCAGAUGUGGUGAAACCUGAAGGGAAUUCACAUAUUUCUGAUUCAUUCCUUUUCAAAAAAUGGAACUCAAAUCCACAUAACAUAGAAUUCAGCAUUUUACCAAUUUUAAAGUAUCCAAUGUAGUGACUUUCUGUAUAUUUACCAUGUUGUACAACCAUCACCACUAUCUCAUUCCAGAACAUUUCCAUCUCCCUAAAAGAAAUCAUGUACUUCUUAAUUCCCUCCUCCUCCCGUUCCCUGGCAACUAUUAAUCUUUAUUCUGUCUCUAUGGAUUUGGCUAUUUUGGACAUUUCUGUAAAUGGAAUAAUAGAAUAUGUGACCUUUUGUGUCUGAAUUCUUUUACUUAAUAUAAUGUUUUUCAGGUUCAUCCAUGUUAGAGCAUGUAUCCAUAUUUCAUUUUAAUGGCUGCAUAAUAUUCCAUUAAUGGCUAGACCACACUUGGUUAUUUACAUUUUUGUACAGCCAUCACCACUGUCCAUCUUCAGAAUUCUUUUCAUCUUCUAAAACUGAAGUUCAUAAUCACUGAAUAGUAACCCGUCUUUCCUCUCGCUGCCCAGCCCCUGGCAAUCACCAUUCUACUUUCUGUGUCCAUGAAUUUGACUUCUCUAACUUCCUCACAUAAGUGGAAUCAUAGAGCAUUUUCCCUUCUAUGACUGGCUUAUUUCACUCAGCACAGUAUCCUAAGACUUCAUCCAGGUUGUAACUUGGGUCCAAAUUUCCUUCCUUUUUAAGACUGGAAAAUAUUCCAUUGCACACAUGUACCACAUCUUUUUAAAAAAUUUAUUUUAAUGUUUAUUCACGUUUGAGGCAGAGUAUGAGCAAGGGAGGGGCAGAGAGAGAGGACACAGAAUCCAAAACAGGCUCCAGGCUCUGAGCUGUCAGCAGAGAACUUGAUGCAGGGCUUGAACCCAUGAACCGUGAGAUCAUGCCUGAGCUGAAGUCAGGCGCUUAACCAACUAAGCCUCUCAGGUGCCCCCGCCACAUCUUGUUUAUCCACCUAUCGAUGGACACUUGAAUUGCUUCCACCUUUAGGUGACUGUAAAUAGUGCUGCUAUGACCAUGGGUGUAAAAACAUGUUUGAGUUCCUGCUUUCAGUUCUUUGGAGGUAUAUAUAUCCAGAAGUGAAAUUAUUGGAUCAUAGGGUAAUUCCGUUUUGAAAUUUUGGAGAACAACUGAACUGUUUUCCACAGCUGCUGCACCAUUUUACAUUCCCACCAAUGGCGCACAAGAAUUUCCAUUUCUCCAUGUCCUCACCAACACUUGUUGCUUUCUGUUGUCCUGCUUGGUUUUGGCUUUCUUUUUGGAACAAGCUCUACUGGUAAGUUUCAAGUGGAGUAAUGCCAUUGUAACAAUAAUCUAUCCAUAGUAUUUUACUAUAUUUGAUGGUAUUGUACAUGGAAUUGUUUUUUUUUUCAUAUUUUUGAAUCUUUCUUUUUGAGAGAGAGACAGAGUAUGAGUGGGGGAGGAACAGAGAGAGAGGGAGACACAGAAUCUGAAGCAGGCUCCGGGCUCUAGGCUGUCAGCACAGAGCCCGACGAGGGACCUGAACUCAAUAACUGUGAGAUCAUGAUCUGAGUUGAAGUCGACUAAGGCACCCCAGCACCCCUGGAAUUGUUUUAUUUUAUUUUAUUUUUUUAUUAAAAAACUUUAUUAUUAUUAUUUAUUAUUAUUAUUAUUGAGACAUAAACAGAGCAUGAGUGAGGGAGCGGCAGAGAGAGAGGGAGACACAGAAUCUGAAGCAGGCUCCAGGCUCUGAGCUGUCAGCAUAGAACCCGAAGUGGGGCUCGAACCCAUGAACCAUGAGGUCAUGACCUGAACCAAAGUCGGCCACUUAAUCGCCCCUGGAAUUGUUUUUUUAAUUUCAUUUUUGGGUUUUUCAUUUCUAGUGUAUAGAAAUACAACUGAUUUUUAUAUACUGAUCUCAUAGCCUGCAAGAUUGCUGAAUUUACUAGUUCUACUUGUGUGUAUAUCGACAUGUAUGUGGGUGUAUAUCCCAUCUGUAAAAUGGAUGAUAAAAGUACCUAUUGUUAUGAGGAUUAAAUGAGUUAACACUUGUCGAGUGAUACAUACUGGAGCUGGCAUAUAAAAAACACUAGACAAUUGUUAGACACUAAAUAUUUAUUCGACAGUAAAUAUUAAUUGAAGUUCUAUUACAUAUUUAUCUGUAGGUGUACAUAUUUAUCUGUAUUUAUAAGACUGACAACAGGUGUCUUAGUCAACAUGGACUGCUUUAACAAAGCACCAUAGACUCGGGGGGGCUUAAACAACAAACAUUUAUUUCUCACAGUGCUGGAGGCUGGCAAGCCCAAGAUCAAGGUGCCAGCAGCUUCAGUGUCUGUUGAAGACAGUCUCUUUGAUUUGCACAUGCCCCUCUUCUGUAUCCUCAAUGGCAGAAAGAGAUCAUCAUCUUCUCUUAGAAGUUCACGAAUUCCAUUCAUGAGGGUUCUGCCCUCGGGACCUUAUUACCUCCCAAAGGCCCCACCUCCAAUUACUAGCACAGUAGUGAUUAGAGCUUCAACGUGACUUUGGUGGGCAGGAGGGAUAAACAUUUAGUCCAUAGCAACAGGUAAGAAACCUGAUCUUACAAAACUUAUGUGAAAUAUCCCAAACCAUUCAUACUCAGAUUGCUAUUUUUCAGAUAAUUUCUCCUGGGAAACAAUUUUUCAUGGAUUUCUCAUGUUGCUUCCUCUCUUGCAAGCAGAGGUCCAGAUGGCCUGAUUUUCCGACGGUCUCCCUCAAGAGCAGAGAAUUGGUUUGUGUAUUGUCUAGCACAAUAAAGACAAUAUCUAUAUCCACCGUCCUUCCCCCCCACCCUGCAAACGUCAGGUAGGGAUUCUUGCAGAUCAUGAUAAAAGAUUUGAGUUCCUUGGCUUGGGGUUCCGCAGCCAUGGCAGAGAUGGCAUUCACUCUGUAUCACCUCUAUGGGGCCUGAGGAGCAAGGAGAAUGGAUGUUAAACUAAAACUCAUGCUGCUCUCAGUGCUGUGGAUAAUAAAGUUCUUUGUCUCUGCUCAGGAGUCUUGUGUCUUCCUCCAGCAUCCUCGAAAGGAGCUAACUUUUUGGAUUGUGGGUAGGGUAGAAUGUCAGACCCUUCACAGCUUGUGACAACUUCCAUCCAGUAUGCCAUUACAAGGGUAUCUCCUUAAAUCUAACUUCUACCUGGUACAUCUACAUUUCUUUUUCUGGCUUUUAGGCUCCUCCAUACCUCCCCAACUGAACUGUCCAUCUCCUCCUGAAGAAGACCUAUGUCAUAGGCCAGGAUUUUCUAACAUGGAUUACCAUACUCAUUUCUAUUUCUAACAUGGGGUUCAUGUUUC
This is a long non-coding RNA of Suricata suricatta (meerkat), 5207 nucleotides long. NCBI's taxonomy places the organism in Eukaryota, Metazoa, Chordata, Mammalia, Carnivora, Herpestidae. The record is from Ensembl.